CUACGGGAGGCUCCAGUGGGGAAUAUUGGACAAUGGGCGAAAGCCUGAUCCAGCAAUGCCGCGUGUGUGAAGAAGGCCUGCGGGUUGUAAAGCACUUUCAGUUGGGAAGAUGAUGACGUUACCAACAGAAGAAGCACCGGCUAAAUCCGUGCCAGCAGCCGCAGUAAUACGGAUGGUGCGAGCGUUAAUCGGAAUUACUGGGCGUAAAGCGCGCGUAGGCGGCUAAGUCAGUCAGAAGUGAAAGCCCCGGGCUCAACCUGGGAAUUGCUUUUGAUACUGCUUAGCUAGAGUUUGGUAGAGGAUAGUGAAAUUCCAGGUGUAGCGGUGAAAUGCGUAGAUAUCUGGAGGAACAUCAGUGGCGAAGGCGACUGUCUGGACCAAAACUGACGCUGAGGUGCGAAAGCGUGGGUAGCAAACAGGAUUAGAUACCCUAGUAGUC
RNAcentral lists this ribosomal RNA (439 nucleotides) under uncultured bacterium. RNAcentral describes it as "partial 16S ribosomal RNA". It matches the Rfam family "Bacterial small subunit ribosomal RNA", at positions 339 to 795 of the family's 1533-position model. The record is from RNAcentral.